Molecule: ribosomal RNA, 464 nt
Filed under: Vreelandella stevensii
Lineage: Bacteria; Pseudomonadati; Pseudomonadota; Gammaproteobacteria; Oceanospirillales; Halomonadaceae
Description: partial 16S ribosomal RNA
Rfam family: Bacterial small subunit ribosomal RNA
Source: RNAcentral
CCUACGGGUGGCAGCAGUGGGGAAUAUUGGACAAUGGGCGAAAGCCUGAUCCAGCCAUGCCGCGUGUGUGAAGAAGGCCUUCGGGUUGUAAAGCACUUUCAGUGGGGAAGAAAGCCUUGGGGCUAAUACCCUCGAGGAAGGACAUCACCCACAGAAGAAGCACCGGCUAACUCCGUGCCAGCAGCCGCGGUAAUACGGAGGGUGCGAGCGUUAAUCGGAAUUACUGGGCGUAAAGCGCGCGUAGGCGGUCUGAUAAGCCGGUUGUGAAAGCCCCGGGCUCAACCUGGGAACGGCAUCCGGAACUGGCAGGCUAGAGUGCAGGAGAGGAAGGUAGAAUUCCCGGGGUAGCGGUGAAAUGCGUAGAGAUCGGGAGGAAUACCAGUGGCGAAGGCGGCCUUCUGGACUGACACUGACGCUGAGGUGCGAAAGCGUGGGUAGCAAACAGGAUUAGAUACCCUGUAGUC